This 915-nucleotide ribosomal RNA is filed under the name uncultured bacterium. Its description in RNAcentral is "bacterial SSU rRNA". It matches the Rfam family "Bacterial small subunit ribosomal RNA", at positions 8 to 916 of the family's 1533-position model. The record is from RNAcentral.
AGAGUUUGAUCAUGGCUCAGGAUAAACGCUGGCGGCGUGCUAAUGCAUGCAAGUCGAACGGGAGCUCACAUUCCCACCGUCUUCGGAUGGUGGCGUGGGUGGACCGUGGCGGACGGGUGAGGAACGCGUGGCCAACCUGCCCUGAUCACGGGGAUAACCGCCGGAAACGGCGGCUAAUACCCGAUACGCUGGCACCGGGGGACCGGUGUCAGGAAAGCGGUGGAAGUGCGGAUCAGGAGGGGGCUGCGCCCGAUUAGCUAGCUGGUGGGGUAACGGCUCACCAGGGCGACGAUCGGUAGCUGGUCUGAGAGGAUGAUCAGCCACACGGGGACUGAGACACGGCCCCGACUCCUACGGGAGGCAGCAGCAAGGAAUUUUCCCCAAUGGGCGCCAGCCUGAGGGAGCAACGCCGCGUGGGGGAGGACGCGUUUCGGCGUGUAAACCCCUUUUCCGAGGGACGAAGCAAGUGACGGUACCUCGGGAAGAAGGCCCGGCUAACUACGUGCCAGCAGCCGCGGUAAUACGUAGGGGCCAAGCGUUGUCCGGAGUUACUGGGCGUAAAGGGCGCGCAGGCGGUUGGUUACGUCGUGUGUGAAAGCCCCCGGCUCAACCGGGGAGGGUCGCGCGAAACGGGCCGACUGGAGGCAAGGCGAGGGCGGUGGAAUUCCCGGUGUAGUGGUGAAAUGCGUAGAGAUCGGGAGGAACACCAGAGGCGAAGGCGGCCGCCUGGACUUGACCUGACGCUGAGGCGCGAAGGCGUGGGGAGCGAACGGGAUUAGAUACCCCGGUAGUCCACGCAGUAAACGCUGGAUACUAGGUGUGGCCGGAGUUGACCCCGGCCGUGCCGGCGCUAACGCAGUAAGUAUCCCGCCUGGGGAGUACGGCCGCAAGGCUAAAACUCAAAUGAAUUGACGG